AACGGUGACGUAGGCUUGAUUUAACCAAUGGGGGCACCGUAUUUGAGUGCAAUAUAUUAUGCAAAGGUUUCGUACAGUAAACAUUUAAUCCUGUAUUUAUUUAGUUGAUGUGAUUUGUUCUAUAUAUAAAAGAUAGAAAGGUGCAGUAUUUUAUUGACAGUGCAGGGUAUAAUUAGUUUUACUAAUUUUACUUGUUUUUAGACCAGUUGCCUUGACUCACUUUAUGAAAGAGAUCAUGAUGAUGAAACCGUUUUUGCUUUAUAUAAAUAUGGUGUGAUUAGCAGUGAGUGGUUCAGAUAAGGUGAGUGUGUUAUCAAAACCAUCAGAGUGGAGCUGCGUGUGCAACAUGUCAAUGCAGUACCAAAGAUCCGCCACAAGAGGGCGGUGUGAGGACGAGGAAUGCGCAGAGCGGCGCACACAUAUAUCAUAUCAUAUCAUAUCAUAUCAUAUCAUAUCAUAUCAUAUCAUAUCAUAUCAUAUCAUAUCAUAUCAUAUCAUAUCAUAUCAUAUCAUAUCAAACUUGGGAAUGGCACCAGAAAACCUUUUUGUAGCUACUCAUCAGCAUUGACAGCAGUCAAUGUGAAUCUCUGCCAACAGAUUCGCCUGCUCUCGGUACCUUGGGCUUCUCCUGCAUCUCUACUGUUACUUAACUACAAACCAGAACCCAGAAACACUCCGGUGAACCGUCAACAGUGUUGAAUUUCAAAGGGGCGAAGGGCUAAUGCUCCUGGAUGGAGCUGAUUGAGUCAAUUUGUCGACAUGAUGGACGUUUCGUGGCCCCGGCUCCUGUCUCCUGCUGACUGCAGGGACCGGGCUCACAGGCUUUCAGGCCUCUUACAGACACACGGCCUCAGCCGGCGGCAGAAAACGCACGGGACGACAAGACAGUUGGACGUUUGCCAACUGGAUCCUUUGCUUCCUGCAAACACCAGCACCGACCUGAGAGUCUGGAGUCGAUGAGGAGGCGGGAGCUUUGCUCGGCAGCGCAGCAUCGUGCGGGUGCAGGCUGGAAUCAGCAUCUCUGAGCUGGUUGUGACCGACGCCAGGCGGCGGCUGAGCUGCUGAGCGGUCGCCUCCGAUUGUGGCUCUUCAGGAUGCUUUUUUCAGGGAACCCAUGCAGCCUGGUCAUCAGCUGAUGGGACCUGGACGGAGUGUCUGCAUGUGUCCUCAGGGCUCAGCAAGCAGCUCCAGCAACAGGACGACCCGCACAUCCAAUGUAGU
Betta splendens (Siamese fighting fish) is the source of this 1221-nucleotide long non-coding RNA. RefSeq lists it as uncharacterized. The record is from RefSeq and is a predicted model, not a curated record. The transcript is spliced from 4 exons. Lineage: Eukaryota; Metazoa; Chordata; Actinopteri; Anabantiformes; Osphronemidae.